GACGAACCGUGCAAACGUUGUUCGGAAUCACUGGGCUUAAAGGGCGCGUAGGCGGGUGGCCAAGUCUGGGGUGAAAUCUUUCGGCUUAACCGGAAAAUAGCCUUGGAUACUGGCUGUCUUGAGGGAGGUAGGGGCAUGUGGAACUUCCAGUGGAGCGGUGAAAUGCGUUGAUAUUGGAAGGAACGCCGGUGGCGAAAGCGGCUCACUGGAUCUCUUCUGACGCUGAGGCACGAAAGCUAGGGUAGCGAACGGG
This 253-nucleotide ribosomal RNA is filed under the name uncultured bacterium. RNAcentral describes it as "partial 16S ribosomal RNA". It matches the Rfam family "Bacterial small subunit ribosomal RNA", at positions 524 to 776 of the family's 1533-position model. The record is from RNAcentral.